AACGUAGCUUGUGAGUUGGUGGUACAUGUGAUUGGAUCUGUGCCAUGUUAUACGCACAAAGCAAUUUGUUGUGGUGGCAUUGGCCACAUGGAGCUAAUCUGUGUUAGAAUGCUAAAUGUCAUCGAGGGUAAAUGUCAGUGUAAGGAUACGUCUGUAAUUUGGCUGCAAAUAUGACCAGUUUAACAUUUUUCUUGGUUAAUAUUUCAGUUUUAUUUAGCUUUUUAGUUUUGCAAGAGGUUCCGAGCAGGAGUGAGAUGCUGUGAAUUUGAGUGCCUGGAUGAACCAAAUCCCACGGAUGGAUUCUUAGGAGAUUCACCUAUGAAUAGAGCAUUCAUUGUUGCUCCCAGUCCAACCCUU
Molecule: non-coding RNA, 357 nt
Organism: Zootermopsis nevadensis
Lineage: Eukaryota; Metazoa; Arthropoda; Insecta; Blattodea; Termopsidae
Source: RefSeq, a predicted model, not a curated record